AGGCAAAUUCCCCGGACCCUGCACUGCCCUUUUAUCAAGAAAGGCAAAUUCAGUACCUGUAGUUACUAACUUGAGAUUAGUACCUGCAACCGAACGUACCCCUUCCCAACUACUUACGCAGGAGAUGAACUGAACUACUUAUUUCCCUAGAUGCGUGUACCCUUGUUCUUAAAAUGGGACAUCAAUGCGUCACUAAUAUUCUAUUCUAGCAAUGUGAUGCAGACCCGUACAGUCAAAAUGAGCAUGAAGAAGGAACUGCAAUGGCCACUAGCGAGUGGUUGAAAGCACAGCUGGACAAUCAAAACAAUUAUCCCUCAAGGACUGACUAUAUUACUUGUUCCAAAUUAUCAUACCUCAAACACCUAAAUCCUAGAGCAAUCGAUGAGACAAAACGACAUACCCAUGCAAUGAAGUAUUUAGCUAAAAUGAAUUGAAAAGAGAAGAGAAAAUAAGUCAUUCAUCGGAUAUUCCUUGCUCCAUUUAGCUGCAAAGUAGCGAUCGGAACUAGUCCAACAAGGCAGAAGGAAAUUAAACAGGAAGCAUCAAGUAAAGAAACAAUAUUUCGUCUGUAAGCCAAGUGACAGAAAUAUAACCAUCGGUGGAUCACACCCAUCAAUUGGUUUCGUAGUGUAGUGGUUAGCACUCGACUUUGAAUCUGGCGACCUGGGUUCGAAUCCCGGCGAGACCUACUUUUUUAGCUGGCAUUUUAGUGUUUCCAUGGUACAAUGUACUCACAUUUUUUUUAUGACAUUUAGUAUUUGCGAAAAAUAUUGAUUCAAUUUUUGCUGACAUUUAUUAUUUCCAGUGUAGAAUGUACUCCUAUUUUUGCUGACAUUUAGUACUUCCCUGGUACAAUGUACUCAGAGCUUCCAUGGUACAAAUACUCAACAGUCUAGAGGCUAAUAACACUUGAAACAUACCUCUGUCUUCUGAUUUACAUUGGUGUGACUAUAACCUCGCCAAAAUUUAUAUUUCACUAUCAAGAAAGGCAAAUUCCCCGGACCCUGCGCUGCCCAUUUAUCAAGAAAGGCAAAUUCAGUACCUGUAGUUACUAACUUGAGAUUAGUAGCUGCAACCGAACGUACCCCUUCCCAACUACUUACGCUGG
RNAcentral lists this long non-coding RNA (1108 nucleotides) under Triticum aestivum (bread wheat). RNAcentral describes it as "long non-coding RNA (TAES_LNC027763)". The stretch from base 619 to 688 matches the Rfam family "tRNA". The record is from RNAcentral. Lineage: Eukaryota; Viridiplantae; Streptophyta; Magnoliopsida; Poales; Poaceae.